AACGAACGCUGGCGGCAUGCCUAACACAUGCAAGUCGAACGAGACCUUCGGGUCUAGUGGCGCACGGGUGCGUAACGCGUGGGAACCUGCCCUUAGGUUCGGAAUAACUCCCCGAAAGGGGUGCUAAUACCGGAUAAUGUCUUCGGACCAAAGAUUUAUCGCCUUUGGAUGGGCCCGCGUUGGAUUAGCUAGUUGGUAGGGUAAAAGCCUACCAAGGCGACGAUCCAUAGCUGGUCUGAGAGGACGAUCAACCACACUGGGACUGAGACACGGCCCAGACUCCUACGGGAGGCAGCAGUGGGGAAUAUUGGACAAUGGGCGAAAGCCUGAUCCAGCAAUGCCGCGUGAGUGAUGAAGGCCUUAGGGUUGUAAAGCUCUUUUACCCGGGAUGAUAAUGACAGUACCGGGAGAAUAAGCUCCGGCUAACUCCGUG
RNAcentral lists this ribosomal RNA (433 nucleotides) under uncultured bacterium. Its description in RNAcentral is "partial 16S ribosomal RNA". It matches the Rfam family "Bacterial small subunit ribosomal RNA", at positions 29 to 507 of the family's 1533-position model. The record is from RNAcentral.